This 798-nucleotide long non-coding RNA is filed under the name Capsicum annuum. RNAcentral's name for it is "long non-coding RNA (CANN_LNC011389)". Lineage: Eukaryota; Viridiplantae; Streptophyta; Magnoliopsida; Solanales; Solanaceae. The record is from RNAcentral.
AAAGUUUUGGCGCCUGUCACUCGCCAGGAUUGUGCGUGCCAACUAGGCCGCAACCUUGUCAGCUAUGCAGGCGGCAUGUGCUGAGGGAAUAUGCUGAAGUCGAAGAUGAGGCAAAGGGGCAUAACAUGAGGAAACAAGCAUCUAUAUGUUGCAUGACAUGUCCUAAGAGUGCCAAUGUGAUUUGGAGAGGGCUUGGUGUGAGCCCAAGGGGGGCGGAGGCAUGGUGAGGAUCGUGUGCGGUGUUCGAUGUCAGCGCCGUGCCAUUUUGAGCUACAAGUGGAAUCUAAGGAUUCCGGUUUAGAGAGUUGAUAUUGAUGGUACCUUAUGUAUGCUUACCAAAUUUGGGGUCAUUUGGAGUCCGUUUGGAUAGGGGCUUGACUUGGCCAAAGUCCAGUGGCAUUGUCGUAAUUUGCUGAUUGGUCCGAAGGCCAUAACUCAUUCCAUGUGUAUGGGAAUGGGGUGAAACUUCAUGGAGGUGUGAAGGAAGUCAAGAGAAAGGAGUAGGAACAAACGGCACCCAAUUUGAAGGUCGGAUGAAUGAUCUAAGCCCCAGUAUGAUUCUCGGGCAAAAUGAUGUCUAGUGGCAGACAUUGGGAUUAUUUAUUUUAAGCAUAUAUAAGGGGGGUAUGAAUGGUGACAGCCUACCAGCCUCCCCCGGGUGUGUCGACAGAUGGCCACCCCAAGUGUGCUGCCUUGAGGGACAACCUCAAGGGCCUGCCUUGGCAUGUCAAAGGAAUGCGCAAGGUACUCAUAGGGCUCGGGAACCCUAUGGGCAACGCAAGGUCGGGUGGACUAGCG